RNAcentral lists this long non-coding RNA (901 nucleotides) under Setaria italica (foxtail millet). RNAcentral describes it as "long non-coding RNA (SITA_LNC000394)". Lineage: Eukaryota; Viridiplantae; Streptophyta; Magnoliopsida; Poales; Poaceae. The record is from RNAcentral.
ACACUCUAACUCCCACCUCACACAUGAAACUUGCAAUUUUCCCCAUAACCCCCUAUUCUUCUUUUCCACUCGCAAGCAGACCCUCCUUCUUCAACCCUGGGACAGAUCGCACAGAACACAGGUAUGUCACGCAUGGGGGCGCACAACCCAUCGGGGAGAGGGGGAAACAGCGUGGCGGUGCUAGGGGAAGGACAGCAGUGCCAUGCCCAGGCCAGGGGAACUCCUUGGCGUGGCACAGGUAGGGAGGAAGGGGGCAGCGCAUGGGGGCUCCGCGUGGCGGCGGCGAGCGCCGUCGAAAUGCCCUAGAACGAGCAUGGAAACUUAGAUAUCGUGAACAAUAAACGGGAGCAUCAUGAUUAGGAGCUCACCUAGGGCCUAUUUGAGGUGUUGGUUAGCGACGAGGGAGGCCGGAAGGAGGGGCUCCAUGGAGAGGUAGAGCCGGUGGUGGAAAAGUUCCUGGAACUUUGGGGGAACUUCGAUUCCCGUCGAUUUGGUGGACGAUUGAUGGAGAGGAGAGGCUGAGGGUGUAGCCAAGGAAGUGGAGCCACUCUGGGCGAGAGGAAUCGAAGGGGGAUGGAGGGAGAUGGGAGGAAUCGAUGACGAACUGAGAGAAGCUCGGAAGGGCAACAAUGGAGGAAAGCUCGAUUUUGGGGAGGCUAUGGCUUGGAGGGGGCCUGAUUUAUGGACGGGGGAGGGUGAGGAUAAGGAUGGCGAGGUGAUAAGGGUGACAAAGAACUAGGGGCGGCCAUUGUAGGAGAGGGAGCUGCCCGUGGUCAACGGACUGGCGGCGGCAAUGGCAUGGAGGACAGGGUGCUGCCCAAUCGGGUGCAAGGAGAGGCGUGGGGAGGAAGGGAGGGCACAUGGGAGGAUGCUUGGGCAGCCUAUGGGCAGAGGAGGAGCC